GACGAACGCUGGCGGCGUGCUUAACACAUGCAAGUCGAACGGAAAGGCCCUGCUUUUGUGGGGUGCUCGAGUGGCGAACGGGUGAGUAACACGUGAGUAACCUGCCCUUGACUUUGGGAUAACUUCAGGAAACUGGGGCUAAUACCGGAUAGGAGCUCCUGCUGCAUGGUGGGGGUUGGAAAGUUUCGGCGGUUGGGGAUGGACUCGCGGCUUAUCAGCUUGUUGGUGGGGUAGUGGCUUACCAAGGCUUUGACGGGUAGCCGGCCUGAGAGGGUGACCGGCCACAUGGGGACUGAGAUACGGCCCAGCCCCCUCGGGGGGGCAGGGGGGGGGAAUAUUGCACAAGGGGCGGAAGCCUGAUGCAGCAACCCCGGGGGCGGGAUGACGGCCUUCGGGUUGUAAACCGCUUUCGCCUGUGACGAAGCGGGGGUGACGGUAAUGGGUAAAGAAGCCCCGGCUAACUACGU
Molecule: ribosomal RNA, 467 nt
Filed under: uncultured bacterium
Lineage: Bacteria
Description: partial 16S ribosomal RNA
Rfam family: Bacterial small subunit ribosomal RNA
Source: RNAcentral